UUCACUCCCCUCUCUUUCAGAGAUCCAGAGCUCAAUCUUGUGAUUUGGCUCUUUCUUUUGGGUUUUCGUUCUCUGUUUCUCCCUUCUUCUUCUCCAAAGGGGUUCGCCUCUCGAUCCUCUGUUUCUUGGUUUCCAUCCCCUCUGUUCUUUACUCUUUACUCCCUACUCCUCCUCUCUACGCCCUCUUCUCUAUCUUCACCAGGGGAUCGCGAAGUUAAUCGUCGGAUUCGCUUUCUUCCUGGGGUUUCAAAUUUUCUAUCCCCUGUUUUUGGUGUCUUCUCCUCCUCACUCCAUUGAGUGGUUUUCUCUGUUUCCUGGGUUACAUCCCCUGUUUUCCCCUAAUGCCAAUUUUACCCUAAAGCAAGCAUUAAACGCGUGCCGUUAGAAGCGUACAAAGCCGGAAUCGUCUUCACCAUUGGGAUCCAUAUCUUUCACUAGGCAGGACUUAGGAGUAUUGUGGGCGCCUGUUUUGGGACAUAUAUAGCGCACCAAACACCCUCGAGGAUCAUCCCCCGUUUCCAAAGGAUUCCACGCCUCAAUCCCUGUUUCUUUCUGCUCUGUUUCUUCAGCAAUGGAAACUGCAGUCUCCAGUAAUCCCAAUUACAAUCCAGGAAGACACCUCCCUCCUCGACAGAGAGGAGGGAUCAAAAAACAGAUAUUCAAAGACUUUCUUAAAUAUGUUAGUGCCAUCGCGCUUUUACUGGGCCAGAUGGAAGCAAAUCAAGGGGAUAGUGGCGGUCGUCGCCUUAGCUCCGCCUCCGCACCUCUUCCUGAAAUCCCUCCUGGCUACACUUCAGAUCUGAGGCGUUGAUUCAUUAAAUUAGAUUUGGCGAUGGUUGUCUUUUGAUAUAUGCUUGGAUGCCGAGAAAAUUUCACAUGUCAUUCCAAUUUCUCCCUUCCUUCAGUUUGACAGAACUGAGGAAAGGCGAUCGACGAUCGACGAUCGGAAACGUUAUGAUUGGGUACUGUCCUCCAUGCCUGUGUAUAUAAAUCCAGAAAUCUUCUUGUAGAAACUUUGUAUUUUCACUUUGUACAUACUUCGUUAAUAAAGUGGAAUGAAUCAAUCAAUGUAUUAUUGAUUUCUGGACUUCUGUGAUAUGAAAUGCGUCCAUGAAUUUGCAAAUGAAUCCGAAGAUCAUCUAUGCCACCGCCUCCUUCACUCUUCCAAAUUGUUUUCGCUUUAUAAUUGUGCAUAAUUCAGUUUUGAGCUGCCGUUGGUUGCCAAAAUCUCGUAGGGACACUUUCAAUUAUUCACUGAAUCAUCCAUGGUUCUUGCUAUCUCAGAUUGAAUUUUUUUUUCCCUUUUAGGGAAAUGCAUUUAUGUUUCUUAAAUUCUUUUGCAUAUAGGUUAAAGAUUUAUUUAUUUUCAAUUAGAAGUGUAAUGACUCCGAAGUUCCUUCCAAAUAUCUGGAACCCAACUGAAAAUUGCAAUGUUUGGAGAAUAAAACCCCAUCUAACUGGGGGAAUUUUCGUGGAAGAUUAAAAAAUAAAUAAAUUUUUGAAAUUUUUUUAAAUAUAUAUAUAUAAAAUGAAAUCCAAGUUGCGAAAUUCAGCCUUCUAGAAUGAUAUUUCUUUGUUGUUAAGUAAAGUAUAAAAUGGGUUGUAACUGGAUUUUUUUUACUUCGGAAGAUGACGAACAACAUGUGUCAUAAUAAAAAAAGACCCUCUUGUCCUUUGUGGUUGAAUCCUGUUGGGGGCUGAGUUCAGUCCAUCCCAAUCAUAAGUUGUCUUUUUGGGAAAUCCAAAGAAAAUUUAUAACUUUACGUUAAAAGUAAAAAAAUUAAAAACCAACAAUUCUCUUCUCUUUGAAUGUAGGCACUUUAAAUAAGGCUUCUCUGGAGACUUUAAGUUAAUGAAGACAAAGAAUAUAGAAGUUAAAUGAUCAAAGCUAAAUUAAUUUUACAUUCCUACACACCCUACAAACACAAUGGUCACGGCUCAUAAAUUUUUUUUCCCAAAUUGAAGAGUAUAAUAAUUUUUAUAAAAUUUUCCAAGCGAGGGAAUUUGAUUCAAAAAGCGGUGAUUAAUGAAAAAGGAUCAUAUAACAAAAAAAAAAAAAGUCAAUUUAUUAGUGCCUUGAGUAAAAUAUUUCAAUUUGAAGAGAAAACACGUGAGGAAAAAUCACCCACUGGGAAGUUAGGGAGUUAGGGAGUUAGUACCGUAACUGUAAUGAAUUACGGCGGUCCACACAGAAUAUUCUGCCCUCAUGACUCAUCCGAGUUCAUUGUCUCACCAAGUCAGUUGCUUGGAAGCCAAGUUUCCGAGUUCAGCCCACUGCUUGGCCUACAUAUUCUUCUCUUCACUCACCUCUCUUUCAGAGAUCCACAGCUCAAUCUUGUGAUUUUGCUCUUUCUUUUGGGUUUUCGUUCUCCAUUUCUCCCUUCUUCUCCGAAGGGGUUCGCCUCUCGAUCCUCUGUUCUUUACUCUUUACUCCCUACUUCUCCUCUCUACGCCCUCUUCUCUCUCUUCACCGAGGGAUCGCGAAGUUAAUCGUCGGAUUCGCUUUCUUCCUGGGGUUUCAAAAUUUCUAUCCCCUGUUUUUGGUGUCUUCUCCUCCUCACUCCAUUCAGUGGUUUUCUAUGUUUCCUGGGUUUCAUCCCCUGUUUUCCCCUAAUGCCAAUUUUACCCUAAAGCAAGCAUUAAACGCGUGCCGUUAGAAUCGUACAAAGCCAGAAUCGUCUUCACCAUUGGGAUCCAUAUCUUUCACUAGGCAGGACUUAGGAGUAUUGUGGGCGCCUGUUUUGGGAUAUAUAUAGCGCACCAAACACCCUCGAGGAUCAUCCCCCAUUUCCAAAGGAUUCCACGCCUCAAUCCCUGUUUCUUUCUGCUCUGUUUCUUCAGCAAUGGAAACUGCAGUCUCCAGUAAUCCCAAUUACAAUCCAGGAAGACACCUCCCUCCUCAACAGAGAGGAGGGAUCAAAAAACAGAUAUUCAGAGACUUUCUCAAAUAUGUUAGUGCCAUCGCGCUUUUACUGGGCCAGAUGGAAGCAAAUCAAGGGGAUAGUGGCGGCCGUCGCGUUAGCUCCGCCUCCGCACCUCUUCCUGAAAUCCCUACUGGCUACACUUCAGAUCUGAGGCGUUGAUUCGUUAAUUAGAUUUGGCGAUGGCUGUCUUUUGAUAUAUGCUUGGAUGCCGAGAAAAUUUCACAUUUCAUUCCAAUUUCAUUCCAAUUUCUCCCUUCCUUCAGUUUGACAGAACUGAGGAAAGUCGAUCGACGAUCGACGAUCGGAAGCGUUAUGAUUGGGUACUGUCCUCCCCUGUAUAUAAAUCCAGAAAUCUUCUUGUAGAAACUUUGUACUUUCACUUUGUACAUACUUCGUUAAUAAAGUGGAAUGAAUCAAUCAAUGUAUUAUUGAUUUCUGGAUUACUGUGAUAUGAAAUGCGUCCAUGAAUUUGCAAAUGAAUCCGAAGAUCAUCUAUGCCACCGCCUCCUUCACUCUUCCAAAUUGUUUUCGCUUUAUAAUUGUGCAUAAUUCAGUUUUGUGCUGCCGUUGGUUGCCAAAAUCUCGUAGGGACACUUUCAAUUAUGCACUGAAUCAUCCAUGGAAUCCACCAAACCGGCAAUUCCUAUACAUGGUUCUUGCUAUCUCAGAUUGAAAUUUUUUUUUUCCCUUUGAGGGAAAUGCAUUUAUGUUUCUUAAAUUCUUUUGCAUAUAGGUUAAAGAUUUAUUUAUUUUCAAUUAGAAGUGUAAUGACUCCGAAGUUCCUUCCAAGUAUCUGGAACCCAACUGAAAAUUGCAAUGUUUGGAGAAUAAAAUCGCAUCUAACUGGGGGAAUUUUCGUGGAAGAUUAAAAAAUAAAUAAAAUUUUGAAUUUUUUUAAUAUAUGUAUAUAUAUAUAUAUAUAAAAUGAAACCCACGUUGCGAAAUUCAGCCUUCUAGAAUGAUAUUUCUUUGUUGUUAAGUAAAGUAUAAAAUGGGUUGUAACUGGAAAUGUUAUUUUAUUUUAUUUUUAUAGGCGUUACUCAUUUUUAUUUUAUUUUUUUUUACUUCAGAAGAUGACGAACAACAUGUGUCAUAAUAAAAAUACCCUUUUGUCCUUUGUGGUUGAAUCCUGUUGGGGGCUGAGUUCAGUCCAUCCCAAUCAUAAGUUGUCUUUUUGGGAAAUCCAAAGAAAAUUUAAAACUUUAUGUUAAAGUAAAAAAAUUAAAAACCAACAAUUCUCUUCUCUUUGAAUGUCGGCAUUUUAAAUGAGGCUUCUCUCGUGACUUUAAGUUAAUGAAGACAAAGAAUAUAGAAGUUAAAUGAUCAAAGCUAAAUUAAUUUUACAUUCCUACACACCCUACAAAACAAUGGUCACGGCUCUUAAAUUUUUUUUCCCAAAUUGAAGGGUAUAUUAAUUUUUAAAAUUUUUUCCAAGUGAGGGAAUUUGAUUCAAAAAGCGGUGAUUAAUGAAAAAGGAUCAUAUAACAAAAAAAAAAAAAAAAGUCAAUUUAUUAGUGCCUUGAGUAAAAUAUUUAAAUUUGAAGAGAAAACACGUGAGGAAAAAUCACCCACUGGCAGUUAGGGAGUUAGUACUGUAACUGUAAUGAAUUACGGCGGUCACACAGAAUAUUCUGCCCUCAUCCGAGUUCAUUGUCUCACCAACUCAGCUGCUUGGAAGCCAAGUUUCUGAGUUCAGCCCCACUGCUUGACCUAUAUAUUCUUCUCUUCACUCACCUCUCUUUCAGAGAUCCAGAGCUCAAUCUUGUGAUUUUGCUCUUUCUUUUGGGUUUUCGUUCUCUAUUUCUCCCUUCUUCUUCUCCGAAGGGGUUCGCCUCUCGAUCCUCUGUUUCUUGGUUUCCAUCCCUCUGUUCUUUACUCUUUACUCCCUACUCCUCCUCUCUACGCCCUCUUCUUUCUCUUCACCGAGGGAUCGCGAAUUUAAUCGUCGGAUUCGCUUUCUUCCUGGGGUUUCAAAAUUUCUAUCCCCUGUUUUUGGUGUCUUCUCCCUACUCCAUUCAGUGGUUUUCUCUGUUUCCUGGGUUCCAUCCCCUGUUUUCCCCUAUCUUUUAUUUAGCUUCGAAACUGUUCAAACCCAUCUCCUGCAAAUGGAUACUCCAGUGUCUAUUUCCAAAGACAGACCAGAACGACGCUUCCCUCCACCUAGAGGACGAGUCAAAAAAGAAAUUUUCAAAAGCCUGGUGAAAUCUUUCGGCACAGUUGCAGGAAGGGCGAGUGGGGCGAUAAGGAAGCGAGAAGAAAAUGGUGGUCGGCUCAGCUCGACCUCCACUACUCCCGCUGAAACUCCCAGUGGAUACAGCUCAGAUGGGUAGUCUUGAUCCACUGAAUUCAUAUUUCUCAACUCCCCUGUACAGUUGGUGAACGCUGACCUGCGAUGCUAUUUGGAUUCCUAGAAAGUGUUUCAUUUUUUCAUUUUCUUGUUCCUUUUCUUUCGAUGGAAAGAGAAGAGGCGUUGAAGAUUGGAAUUCUCUGUUGAUUGUUGUAAUAUAAAAAUAAAAUCAUGAGCCCAGAGAUGUUCUCAUCUGUAAACAUAUGAUUCUGGUGUUCCGAGCCUGUGUCAUUUUAGCAAAUUUUGGAACAAUAUUAAUUCAUGGAAAUGUGACGAGAAUGAUGAUUUGUUCUCCCAGUUUUCUCAAACACUUGCUACAUUUUUUUUUUUCUCAGAUUCUCUGUUCUUCAUUGAAAGCAGAGGAAAAUAAGUUCAUAUCUACUAGGAUAGAUCUUGAAGAUAAUGCAUAUAAUUCAGAUCAUGGGGUCUGUUUGGAUCGGAUGAUUUUCGAUUCUCUUGAAAAUUUGAACUCCUAAAUCGCCAAUCUCCCUACAGCAACAUUUGGUUUAAGUUCUCUGUUUAAGUCAAUACAAGAACAAUAUUUUGCUAUUCGGUCAGGUAUUUUAAAACCUAUUUGAUUUGAUUUGUAUACGCCUUUUGGAAGGUCCCUUUCCUUCAUUCUUAUACACAAUCUUUUAUUAGGUUCUAAUAAUUAAAAUAAUUUGAUUAUGAUUAAUUUAAGCAUGGAAGUUAGGGUUAUGAAAAAAGAUAAUGUAUUUUAAGUUUCAAGAAUGGGCAUCAUUAAGAAAAUAACAAAGAGAGUGAGUCAGUUGAGGGCGGCCCAGCCGAGGGUGGCCCAGCCUUUUGGGCACAGGUUACCAUGCAAUACUAGGCUGGGGACGCCUGCAGUGAAUAAAUUAUAUCAUCUCAGUCCCAUGUGACUUCAACACGGUCUCCCUCAAGACUCUCAAUAAGUCAUCCUUACGUGAAUUUGUUAGUUGAAUAAUUUGAGAAAAAAAAUAUUAAAAAAAAAGGAGAAAAAUAGGGGGAAAUAAAAUAUAUAUAUUUAAGUCAUCCUUACAUAUUUAUUUUUUAUUUUUUAAAAAUAAAUAUGUAUGAACGGUCAUAUCAUAGCCUCUUGUAACUCAAUAAGUUGUUGGUAACAAUUCUUGUAAUAAUUAUAGUAGGC
This 6400-nucleotide long non-coding RNA is filed under the name Vitis vinifera (wine grape). RNAcentral describes it as "long non-coding RNA (VVIN_LNC001713)". Lineage: Eukaryota; Viridiplantae; Streptophyta; Magnoliopsida; Vitales; Vitaceae. The record is from RNAcentral.